CAGCGUCUUCUCCCCGUCAUCUUUGUUGUAGCGGUGUAGCGUGCAAGGACGGGAGCGGAAGAAGUGUCAAAAAGAUGGCGCUAACUGUUUUAAUGUCAUUCAGACUUUACUUAAAUCAACAACGGAGCAGCAUCUCCUCAUCCGGAAACAACAACACCGGAAAUGUGUCCCGUGAAAAAACGUCCGACCAGAACUCUAAUAACUAAAGUUCCUUGGGUGAGUAAGGUAAAGUCACUACACCGGUAUGUUUUAGCACUUUCAUGGCGAGUUUACUGACAGAUAUAAGUAAUAACUUUCCGCUGCUUUAUAUUAGAAAUGGCUACAGCGGAGGAUGAAUGUCCCAUAACAAGAAGGUGGAGAAAAAGAAGAAGCUUAUCGACUACGGUGUCGGCACGGACUACAAAGGCGGACCUGCACGAAUUUUCCAGACUUAUGCAGAUCCCAAAUGCAGAUCAGCAGGUACCAGAAGGUAAGAAAAGUUGCUUUUGCAUAAUAUUGGGAAACAAAACACCAGAUAAUAUGUCUUACCUUGUACACACACCAUAAUAAUACUCCUAUGUUGAAGCACAGUACAAUCCAUCAAGCGGUGCGGCUUCAUAGCUUACCAAAGUCGUACUAAAACAUUUUGAUAGAUUUUUGAGCGCCGUGUGUAAUGUUCUGUAUUUUCAAUGGAGCAUAUACAAUGUUGGUGUUGUUUACUUGAGUCAUAUUGCAGUCUACACGAAAUAAAACAAAAUAAAAUCAACAACGGAGCAGCAUCUCCUCAUCCGGAAACAACAACACCGGAAAUGUGUCCCGUGAAAAAACGUCCGACCAGAACUCUAAUAACUCAAGUUCCUUGGGUGAGUAAGGUAAACUCACAACACCGGUAUGUUUUAGCACUUUCAUGGUGAGUUUACUGACAGAUAUAAGUAAUAACUUUCCGCUGCUUUAUAUUAGAAAUGGCUACAGCGGAGGAUGAAUGUCACAUAACAAGAAGGUGGAGAAAAAGAAGAAGCUUAUCGACUACGAUGUCGGCACAGACUACAAAGGCGGACCUGCACGAAUUUUCCGGACUUAUGCAGAUCCCAAAUGCAGAUCAGCAGGUACCAGAAGUUUGUUUCAGGUGGGAGAAUUUAGUUAGGUACGUCACUUCCUGUUUUCGUCAAAACAAGGACGGAGAGGGAAGCCAUCAGGUGUUGAGCAGCAGCAGCAGCAAUCUGUUCGCAUCCUUAACACAGGACUGACAAAUCUAUGUCGUUCUUACACAGGCCAGGCUUCUCUAAGGAAAAGAAGCAUCUAGUCCAAGGAUCGUUCUUGGAAGAUUCCAGCCAGGAACCCCACCACCUGUUCUGUCUGGGCUGGUAGGAGGCUCUCGAGCCAACCCUCUACACCAGGGGUCACCAACCUUUUUGAAACCAAGAGCUACUUCUUGGGUACUGAUUAAUGCGAAGGGCUACCAGUUUGAUACACACUUAAAUAAAUUGCCAGAAAUAGCCAAUUUGCUCAAUUUACCUUUAACUCUAUGUUAUUAUUAAUAAUUAAUGACAUUUACUCUUAAUUGAACGGUUUAAAAGAGGAGAAAACACGAAAAAUAUGACAAUUAAAUUUUGAAACAUA
This is a long non-coding RNA of Entelurus aequoreus (snake pipefish), 1599 nucleotides long. RefSeq lists it as uncharacterized. The transcript has 3 exons. NCBI's taxonomy places the organism in Eukaryota, Metazoa, Chordata, Actinopteri, Syngnathiformes, Syngnathidae. The record is from RefSeq and is a predicted model, not a curated record.